AUUGGACAUGGUACUACCGGAGGA
This 24-nucleotide non-coding RNA is filed under the name Mus musculus (house mouse). Lineage: Eukaryota; Metazoa; Chordata; Mammalia; Rodentia; Muridae. The record is from RNAcentral.